This 1220-nucleotide ribosomal RNA is filed under the name uncultured bacterium. RNAcentral describes it as "bacterial SSU rRNA". It matches the Rfam family "Bacterial small subunit ribosomal RNA", at positions 33 to 1248 of the family's 1533-position model. The record is from RNAcentral.
ACGCUAGCUACAGGCUUAACACAUGCAAGUCGAGGGGCAGCAUGGUCUUAGCUUGCUAAGGCCGAUGGCGACCGGCGCACGGGUGAGUAACACGUAUCCAACCUGCCGUCUACUCUUGGACAGCCUUCUGAAAGGAAGAUUAAUACAAGAUGGCAUCAUGAGUCCGCAUGUUCACAUGAUUAAAGGUAUUCCGGUAGACGAUGGGGAUGCGUUCCAUUAGAUAGUAGGCGGGGUAACGGCCCACCUAGUCUUCGAUGGAUAGGGGUUCUGAGAGGAAGGUCCCCCACAUUGGAACUGAGACACGGUCCAAACUCCUACGGGAGGCAGCAGUGAGGAAUAUUGGUCAAUGGGCGAGAGCCUGAACCAGCCAAGUAGCGUGAAGGAUGACUGCCCUAUGGGUUGUAAACUUCUUUUAUAAAGGAAUAAAGUCGGGUAUGGAUACCCGUUUGCAUGUACUUUAUGAAUAAGGAUCGGCUAACUCCGUGCCAGCAGCCGCGGUAAUACGGAGGAUCCGAGCGUUAUCCGGAUUUAUUGGGUUUAAAGGGAGCGUAGAUGGAUGUUUAAGUCAGUUGUGAAAGUUUGCGGCUCAACCGUAAAAUUGCAGUUGAUACUGGAUAUCUUGAGUGCAGUUGAGGCAGGCGGAAUUCGUGGUGUAGCGGUGAAAUGCUUAGAUAUCACGAAGAACUCCGAUUGCGAAGGCAGCCUGCUAAGCUGCAACUGACAUUGAGGCUCGAAAGUGUGGGUAUCAAACAGGAUUAGAUACCCUGGUAGUCCACACGGUAAACGAAGAAUACUCGCUGUUUGCGAUAUACUGCAAGCGGCCAAGCGAAAGCGUUAAGUAUUCCACUUGGGGAGUACGCCGGCAACGGUGAAACUCAAAGGAAUUGACGGGGGCCCGCACAAGCGGAGGAACAUGUGGUUUAAUUCGAUGAUACGCGAGGAACCUUACCCGGGCUUAAAUUGCAGAUGAAUUACGGUGAAAGCUGUAAGCCGCAAGGCAUCUGUGAAGGUGCUGCAUGGUUGUCGUCAGCUCGUGCCGUGAGGUGUCGGCUUAAGUGCCAUAACGAGCGCAACCUUUGUUGUCAGUUACUAACAGGUUCCGAUGAGGACUCUGACAAGACUGCCAUCGUAAGAUGUGAGGAAGGUGGGGAUGACGUCAAAUCAGCUCGGCCUUUACGUCCGGGGCUACACACGUGUUACAAUGGGGGGUACAGAGGGCC